RNAcentral lists this long non-coding RNA (277 nucleotides) under Lathyrus oleraceus (garden pea). RNAcentral describes it as "Pisum sativum (pea) long non-coding RNA (PSAT_LNC032344)". The record is from RNAcentral. Lineage: Eukaryota; Viridiplantae; Streptophyta; Magnoliopsida; Fabales; Fabaceae.
AAAGAAGUAUAAUUCUCAAAUAUUCAAAUCCAUUUCACUAGGGGCGUACAUGGGUUGGGUAAACUCGAUAAGCCUAGCCAAACCCACAUAAACUGAUCCAAAGAAAUGAGUUGGGUCAAGUUAUUGGGUGAAUACGAUUUUUAAAAAUGAAAAACCAUUCAAAAAAAUUGGGUUUUUGGUAAACCUGAACCCAACCCACGAAUAUGACACAACAUUUAUAAUAAUAAAAAGAAAAAAAAAGGGAAAUUAGAUAACCCACUAUCCAACCCAAGUCAAC